UACAGAGGGGGCAAGCGUUGUCCGGAUUGACUGGGCGUAAAGCGCACGUAGGUGGUUGGUUACGUGGUGUGUGAAAGCUCAGGGCUUAACCCUGAUAGGCCAUGCCAAACGAAUCGACUUGAGGCUGAGCAGAGGCGGGUGGAAUUGCCGGUGUAGUGGUGAAAUGCGUAGAGAUCGGCAGGAACACCAAGGGGGAACCCAGCCCGCUGGGCCAGACCUGACACUGAGGUGCGACAGCGUGGGGAGCGAACAGG
RNAcentral lists this ribosomal RNA (254 nucleotides) under uncultured bacterium. RNAcentral describes it as "partial 16S ribosomal RNA". It matches the Rfam family "Bacterial small subunit ribosomal RNA", at positions 524 to 776 of the family's 1533-position model. The record is from RNAcentral.